Molecule: long non-coding RNA, 434 nt
Organism: Xenopus tropicalis (tropical clawed frog)
Lineage: Eukaryota; Metazoa; Chordata; Amphibia; Anura; Pipidae
Exons: 3
Source: RefSeq, a predicted model, not a curated record
AUUUUGUAUUCUUUUUUGCUUUUUCAGGCUCAGCCUGUCUGUUCUACAACCUGCUCCCUGCUCUAUAGGGAAACUGGCAAGUCUCUCCAUCUCCUGCCUCAGCAAUCCUUCCCGCUUUUGUAUAUACCUUGCAUGUACAAAAUGGCUGAACUGCCUUAUUGGUUAGAGAGAUGCCUAUACUGUGGAACAUAACAUCCCUAUAACCUUUCAUGUUCUUUCCCGACAACAACACUGGGGUGUACCAGGAAAGGUAAUUCAUCGGCUCCACUAACAUUAAGAAUUGAGUCGUCAGAUAUACAGGUAGAAACAAUAGAAUUCUACCCCAUCUCUGUUAACCCUGGCAUCACUGCACAUGUUGGCGCCAUCUAUUGUAGUAACCUGCUUGUGUAGCCAUUUUGGUUAAGGGCAUUCUUACUGUUUUGCCAUUGCUUGAU